Molecule: non-coding RNA, 1232 nt
Organism: Oryza sativa Japonica Group (Japanese rice)
Lineage: Eukaryota; Viridiplantae; Streptophyta; Magnoliopsida; Poales; Poaceae
Source: RefSeq, a predicted model, not a curated record
UCCUGUCUCGCGAGCCUUCCACAUACAGAGAGCUUAGAAUCUCACCCUGAGUCCCCGGCCGAACUGGCAAAGGGGGGCCUGUGCGGUCUCCCGGUGAGGAGCCCCACGCUCCGUCACCGUCUAUCGUUGGGAAAAGAUGGACAUAAACUUUGUUGGUGCAUGGUGCCUAUGAGUAUGAACACACAUUUUUUACACAAAUAAAUAAAUAUACUACAUAAGCAUGUGAUUAGUAUUAACGGGUUUUUCUUUAUAGGAUGCAAUACAUGGAUGCUUAGAAGACCAUGGUUCCCAUCGGUUAUCUAGAUCCAACAAGGAUCUGUCAAUCCCAGCAUACCGUAACGCUAUCAGAAAACACUGAACAGCUCAAGAACAUGACGCCUGAAGAAAUAGCGGAAUACAAGAAGGGCUUGCAUACGAUCAAGUUGCUUACUAUGGUACAAUACAUUAGACGAGCUUUCCUGAAAUUUCAACGGAAAAGAGUCCUAAUGGCCGUAUACAACUUUAAGUAAAUCCCAUAGAUUUCUCUAUACACAUCUGUGUUAUUUCAUCCGUGACUAACUGCACCGUCGUUACCAUGUAGCAAUCAUGAAAUUUGUUUCUUGAUCUACCCGAAGUACAGGACUGUUACAGUCCUGGACCCCCUUGAUUAUAAUCACAUGACGUAUACACAAUUCCUAAUAAUCUUACAAUUGCAAGUGAUUCUAAUCCAUGCAUGUGUACUUUUCAUGUAUUAUAAUUAAAUCUCCUCCUUAAUACGAAUCGCUAAUAUCCUUACAAUGCGUACAACUACUACAAGAUAAAGAGUGGAGAACAACUAUAAAUAAGGAAGAAGCUACUAGUGCAUACAUACUGGCUGUAUUAGAAGCAACCUAAAGGCAGUACCCUCUAUGGUUAUUACACAUGCAAAUUUCUCAGUGUUAAUGUGAGGUACAGGACCAACGCAGAGGAUUUGCCUAGAAUCAAACAUCGAACAAGCUUUGACGAUAAAGGCAUUAAAAAUAUGCAGCAGGACCUCUGCCACUUCAUCCAUUGCGAGUGCUGUCAUAAGGAUGUAAGGAUGGACGGUUCUUCAACACAGAAGACAGCCUAGCGACAAGUGAUAAAUACAAGUCUCUUCUGGAGUGGAACAAUGCAAUGCCAUGAUGUAUUAAUUAGAUAGUGCAUUCAAAAUGACAACUGUAAAAAUUAUUGUAAUAUAUUGACAACACUUUUCACUACUGCAAUAUAUGUAU